AGUGAACGCUGGCGGUAGGCCUAACACAUGCAAGUCGAACGGCAGCACAGUAAGAGCUUGCUCUUACGGGUGGCGAGUGGCGGACGGGUGAGGAAUACAUCGGAAUCUACUUUUUCGUGGGUGAUAACGUAGGGAAACUUAUGCUAAUACCGCAUACGACCUACGGCUGAACGCAGGGGAUCUUCGGACCUUGCGCGAUUGCAUGAGCCGAUGUCGGAUUAGCUAGUUGGCGGGGUAAAGGCCCACCAAGGCGACGAUCCGUAGCUGGUCUGAGAGGAUGAACAGCCACACUGGAACUGGGACACGGUCCAGACUCCUACGGGAGGCAGCAGUGGGGAAUAUUGGACAAUGGGCGGAAGCCUGACCCAGCAGUACCGCGUGGGUGAAGAAGGCCUUCUGAUUGUAAAGCCCUUUUAUUGGGAAAGAAAAGCAGCAGGUUAAUACCUCGCUGUUCUGACGGUACCCUAAGAAUAAGCACCGGCUAGCUUCGUG
This 492-nucleotide ribosomal RNA is filed under the name uncultured bacterium. RNAcentral describes it as "partial 16S ribosomal RNA". It matches the Rfam family "Bacterial small subunit ribosomal RNA", at positions 29 to 507 of the family's 1533-position model. The record is from RNAcentral.